RNAcentral lists this transfer RNA (73 nucleotides) under Methanosarcinales archaeon. RNAcentral's name for it is "tRNA-Met". It matches the Rfam family "tRNA". Rfam says of the family: Transfer RNA (tRNA) molecules are approximately 80 nucleotides in length. The record is from RNAcentral. RNAcentral also lists the same sequence under 1 other name. Lineage: Archaea; Methanobacteriati; Methanobacteriota; Methanomicrobia; Methanosarcinales.
GCCGGGGUGGCCUAGCCGGAGGGGCGUCAGACUCAUAAUCUGAAGGUCGCGGGUUCGAACCCCGCCCCCGGCA